UACGAAGGGGGCUAGCGUUGCUCGGAAUCACUGGGCGUAAAGGGUGCGUAGGCGGGUCUUUAAGUCAGGGGUGAAAUCCUGGAGCUCAACUCCAGAACUGCCUUUGAUACUGAAGAUCUUGAGUUCGGGAGAGGUGAGUGGAACUGCGAGUGUAGAGGUGAAAUUCGUAGAUAUUCGCAAGAACACCAGUGGCGAAGGCGGCUCACUGGCCCGAUACUGACGCUGAGGCACGAAAGCUAGGGUAGCGAACGGG
Molecule: ribosomal RNA, 253 nt
Filed under: uncultured bacterium
Lineage: Bacteria
Description: partial 16S ribosomal RNA
Rfam family: Bacterial small subunit ribosomal RNA
Source: RNAcentral